RNAcentral lists this unclassified non-coding RNA (360 nucleotides) under Ramicandelaber sp. RNAcentral's name for it is "partial internal transcribed spacer region". The stretch from base 1 to 46 matches the Rfam family "Eukaryotic small subunit ribosomal RNA", at positions 1786 to 1831 of the family's 1831-position model. The record is from RNAcentral. Lineage: Eukaryota; Fungi; Kickxellomycota; Ramicandelaberales; Ramicandelaberaceae.
AAGUCGUAACAAGGUAUCCGUAGGUGAACCUGCGGAUGGAUCAUUACCAAUUUAUAUGUGUCGCUGCUCCUGUUUCGGCGGGGGUAUGCGUACACAAACACCUCAAUGUAAACCGUUGAACCUUCUUACCUACCUUUGUAACACGUGGUUGACUGGAAGAGUACUACUGCACCUAGUGUUGUGUGUCUCCGAUGGCAACCACCUGUUGCAUAUACCAUCAUAUAUACUACUCGUAUAUACUACCAAACAAACAAUCAAACAAACAAACUAUAUGAUUUUACUUAUGGGCUGAGUGGGUAACACCCUUAGCUUUAAUAAAAUAACAUAAUACAACUUUCAGCAAUGGAUCUCUAGGCUCUC